UGACGGUACCUGACUAAGAAGCCCCGGCUAACUACGUGCCAGCAGCCGCGGUAAUACGUAGGGGGCAAGCGUUGUCCGGAUUUACUGGGUGUAAAGGGAGCGUAGACGGCUGUGCAAGUCUGGAGUGAAAGGCAGGGGCUCAACCCCUGGACUGCUUUGGAAACUGUAUGGCUUGAGUGCCGGAGGGGUAAGCGGAAUUCCUAGUGUAGCGGUGAAAUGCGUAGAUAUUAGGAGGAACACCAGUGGCGAAGGCGGCUUACUGGACGGUAACUGACGUUGAGGCUCGAAAGCGUGGGGAGCAAACAGGAUUAGAUACCCUG
RNAcentral lists this ribosomal RNA (320 nucleotides) under uncultured bacterium. RNAcentral's name for it is "bacterial SSU rRNA". It matches the Rfam family "Bacterial small subunit ribosomal RNA", at positions 470 to 789 of the family's 1533-position model. The record is from RNAcentral.